Molecule: long non-coding RNA, 3474 nt
Organism: Pongo pygmaeus (Bornean orangutan)
Lineage: Eukaryota; Metazoa; Chordata; Mammalia; Primates; Hominidae
Exons: 2
Source: RefSeq, a predicted model, not a curated record
AGACAGCACCACCUCUAAAGCAGUCUUGUCACAAAAUAUUAAACCUGGACCUGAUCAAGCAUCUGGACUGGCUUAUGGAUAUAGAGAAAAUGUAGGAGAGAGAUGAGCACGGGAAAUGUCUCCAUGGGGCAAAAUUCACAAAAUUCAGAUUGUUGGACACUCUCCAGGACAAAAUGUCUAGAUUCUUCAAAAACACCAACAUUGAAAAAAAAAACUGCCAGAAAUAAAAAAUACAGAGGGAGAAGGACACAGAACACAUUUAUGAGUCUUUUCACCCUCAUUUUGUUGAAGAUUUCAUUGGGCGAAGAACCCUCAGUAGGCACGAAAUUCAUUCUCACAAGCAGAGAGAUGCAUUAUGCUCCAUUUAUUGCUCAUCCUAAAUUAUGAACAUUUCCAGUGAAUGUAAAGGAAGAGAUGAUUGAAAAGGACUCUGUGAAGACAGGAUGUUUCUGUACAGUCCUUGUAUCUGCUCAUCUAUUCCAAACUUUCCAGAGAUUUUACCAGAGUUUUAAGACAUUCUCCUGAGGGUUUGCUGUAGAGGGAUUUUUCUUAACUAAGGAGUGCAAGUAGCAAGCAAUAGCCCACCCAAUCGGAGACAAAAAAGAAGGGUGUCAGAGUUCCCAGUGUUAAAAAACAAAAACAAAAAAUCACCCUGGACACCUCUGAUAAUUAUACAAGGGGAUGUACACAGCCCUCGCCUUAUUUGAGUUCAAAAGGAAGGUGGGCUUUGAAAGAAGAACAAAGAGAGUAGAUCUCUCUGGAUCUUCUGAUGCUCACAGCAAAGAGCUCAAGGUAUCUGAGUCAACUCUUCAGGCUUCUUUGAACAGAGGGAUGAAGAGAGAAUAUGGCAAGCUUGCCAACAGGUCCCAGAAGUUUUAAGAGAAAAGAACAGAUUGCUCUUUGCAAAACAAACCGAGCUGGGUGCAUGGAGCCCCAGUAGAUAGAAAGUGAAGAAAACAUCAACUUUCUGAAAUUUUAGACAGGUGCACCAUCCCUUAUGGAUACCGAUCUGUGCUCCCUAUAAACUUCUGUGCCCAGGGUCAGCAGGCCAGGGACGACUGGCUCACCAGGAGGCCUAUACAUCCUCUUCUUCAGGCCCUAAUUACAGCUGUAUGUAAUAGGGACUCUGCCAUCUAACAGCCAAGGGGGUGGUUCCGUUUCUGCACAUGGUUUUUUCCACUGGGUCCCUUGAGGUCCAUGGUAAUCUCUUCCUCAUUCUCUGUAGGCAGAUCACACUUUAUAAUAAGAUCGGAGGCAGAGAACUUUGACCAGAUCGCACUUUAUAAUAAGAUCAGAGGCAGAGAACUCUGACCAGAUCACACUUUAUAAUAAGAUCAGAGGCAGAGAACUUUGACAACUACCCCCUUGUCCUCUGGCCCUGGGGUCAGGGCUACUCAAAUAACACCUGCUGUCCCAAACCUGGAGAAGUAUAGAUUUUGGCACUGGUAGAGGAAUAACAGCUAUUGUUGACACUUGAUCUUUUGGGCCUGGAAUUUCCACUAUGUUUUCACAACUCGGAGCCUAUUCCUGCCACCUCUGUCAGGGAAGAUAAAUGGGCAUGAAUACUAGACAGACGAGUUUCCCAAAAGCCCAGACAAGCUGCAGGGAACACGUAAUGAGCAGACAGUGUGGUUCAUGCCGGGGAGCCCAGGUUUAUCCAGGCCUCAUCCUCACUCCCUUUCUCUACUGAUAAUUGGACCCAACAGGACCAUUCUGAAUCAUUUUUCUCUCUUCAGUUAUUCUUCAGUUCUACUCAAAGGGUCAGUUUAGGGCAUAAUUAAAGUCAAUUACUUUCUGAAAGGCCAUCAGGACAACCGUUAGAGACAAUGAUAGCAGCCCCGCACUUGCUGUAGGAAUUAUUAGCUUGUCAGCCUCUAGGCUUAUGGAGACAAAGGACCAAAAAGUUAGAGAGAUCCAGGUGUUCACCUAUUUCUUCACUUAUUCUUUUAUUGUGAGUGUGCAUGUGUGUGGGUGUGUGUGACAUUUAUUAUGAACCAGAGGGCAGGAGCCAGCGACACAUGAAAGCAGGAAUAAUCAUAUUCCCUGCUUUCAUGGGGGCAUACAGCUUGGUGGAGGACACAGAUGUGAAUUCAGUAAUUGCUCCAAUAAAUAUUCUCCUACAGAUGAAGAAAGAUGAUACGAUGUGAUGGACAACACAGACUUAUAUGGUGGGGUCUGGGCUGGUCUUUCUGAAGCUAAGACUGGCAGGAUGAGCAGGAGUUUGCCAGACAAAGAGGAGUGGAGUUGUUUUCCAAACACAUCUCAGCACAAAGUGUUGUCUUUGCUGGGAGCUGAAAAAAGACAGUGUGGCCAGAGACCAUUAGGUGAGAUGCUGGAUAUGAGAUACAACCUCAACAGGUGGAAGAAAAUCGUGAGAGAUGAAGAGAGGAAUAUAGUACAGCAGAGAGGACACAGAAGCUGACGUCAGGGUGUCUCAGUUUGAAAUCAGUGGCCACCCUGUUCCUCUCCCAUGUGGUCCCAUCAUGGGCCUCUAGGGUCUGGGAUAAGAGGUUAAUGAAUAUCUCAUACCCUAAGCAGGGUGGUCCCUGCACUCUAGCAAAAAGUUAAGGAACUAGGGAAAAGAGAUGGAAAUAAUAAAGAAAUGGGACAAAGACUUUGAAGACCAAAGCCCUUGGGCUAUUCCCUUUUUAAAAUUUUUUAUUUAAAUUUUCUUUUAUUUUUAUCAAGACAGGGUCUCACUAUGUUGCCCAGGUUGGUCUCAAACUUCUGGCCUAAAGCAAUCCUCCCACCUUGGCCUCCCAAUGUGCUGGGAUUACAAUGUGAGCCACCACGUCUGGCCUCCUGGGAUAUUUCUCAAUGAAACAUUGGAUGCCACGAUUGGUUUUGUGCCACAUGCCAAUUUCACAGAAGCCAGUCUAUGAGCCACCAGCUCUACUCAGCAAUUACAGCUUCCGGAACUUUGGCUAAAUUCUCGUAGAUGCACCACUGCUUGUGGCCUGACUCUUUGCCACCCAAGUGUGCUCAGCCUCCCCUGGGGAGUCUGCCAGGCUUGCAUGGCUCCCACUGCACUUGCUGUGCUGGGACCGAAAACAGUUUUUGUGCCCCUAGCUUAACUCCACUGGAUUCAUAGAGGCUUUGGCCUCCUCAAUGGCUGUCCUGGGACAGGGAGGCUGGUUAGCACAAUUAACACAACCUGGUCAUGCAAGGCAUUGAUGGUCCGUAACAUGAACUUUGACCAGUAGGAGACAGAGAAUGGAAAAAAGCCAGCAGAUAAAUCAUCUGGCCUUCCUCCCCUAUGACGGACUGUUCUGAGCCACUGUGUUUCACAUGUUUCACAUGUCUUCCCUGGAGAUGUCCCACAUGACUUGAGCAACCAGCUGGAGCUCUAGAGAAACUGUGGCCAUCCUGGUAACAUAUGACCUUGUAUUUGCUUUCUCUCCUUCCUGCUUUAUUUCCCUAUGUCCCUUACUUUGGUUGUUGGGAUUGCACCUCCCAAUAAAGCAUUAGCAUGUC